Caretta caretta (loggerhead turtle) is the source of this 766-nucleotide long non-coding RNA. RefSeq lists it as uncharacterized. The record is from RefSeq and is a predicted model, not a curated record. Lineage: Eukaryota; Metazoa; Chordata; Testudines; Cheloniidae.
GGUAAGAGCGGAGGAUGUUCUUUCCCCAACCUCCCCACACUCACUGGAGGCGGGAAGCAGAGCGCCGCGGCUGGGAGCUGGCGGAGUGGAGCGGGCUGGGGCCACGUUGCUCCGCUUUCCGCCGCUGCCGAAAAAUAUCUGACCCAUGGCUACCCAACUGCCAUCUCCAGGAACAUCACAACUAUCAAGGAAGCCAUAUUCAGAUGGCAUAUCCUUGGGGGUCAUUGAAACAAUAAGACUGAGUGCAGUAUGCUACCAAGCUCCUACUGGGAAAGAAGUGCAGGAGAUCAACUCCUGCUUACUCUGAGCACCGAAUUCAUUGCAAAGAUUCACACAGUGAUGGGGGUGGAGGCUGUAGAGCAAUAAAAUGUAUUUCCAUUUUUUGGAAACACCGACACUGCCCUUCAGCUGAAGCCUGCUCCAUGCUGAGCAGCCUCAGUUCUCCCUGACUUCAGUGUGAGUUGAGAGCACUUAGCACCACACAGGAUCACAUCUUCUAUGUCUAACAUACACGUAUGACCCCAUUUCAUUGACGGUUACUAUCACCUUUUGCCCCCUUUGAAUCAGCAGUGGGACUUCUCUGGCACUGAUUUGAAUAAAAACCACAGCCUUGUUCCUCAGAUGUUCUUGUCAACUGCUGGAAAUGGCCCACCUUGAUUAUCACUACAAAAGAUCCCCCCCCGCCCCCGCUCUCCUGCUGGUAACAACUCACCUUAAGUGAUCACUCUCGUUACAGUGUGUAUGGUAACACCCAUUGUUUCAUGUU